GCCUACGGGGGGCAGCAGUGAGGAAUAUUGGUCAAUGGUCGGGAGACUGAACCAGCCAAGCCGCGUGAGGGAGGAAGGUACAGAGUAUCGUAAACCUCUUUUGCCAGGGAACAAAGGCGGGGACGUGUCCCCGGAUGAGUGUACCUGAAGAAAAAGCAUCGGCUAACUCCGUGCCAGCAGCCGCGGUAAUACGGAGGAUGCGAGCGUUAUCCGGAUUUAUUGGGUUUAAAGGGUGCGUAGGCGGUCCGUUAAGUCAGCGGUAAAAUUGCGGGGCUCAACCCCGUCGAGCCGGUGAAACUGGCAGG
This 305-nucleotide ribosomal RNA is filed under the name uncultured bacterium. Its description in RNAcentral is "bacterial SSU rRNA". It matches the Rfam family "Bacterial small subunit ribosomal RNA", at positions 337 to 640 of the family's 1533-position model. The record is from RNAcentral.